Molecule: small nuclear RNA, 65 nt
Filed under: Cervus elaphus hippelaphus
Lineage: Eukaryota; Metazoa; Chordata; Mammalia; Artiodactyla; Cervidae
Rfam family: U4 spliceosomal RNA
About the family: U4 small nuclear RNA (U4 snRNA) is a component of the major U2-dependent spliceosome. The structure of U4 snRNA from yeast and human has been reported.
Source: RNAcentral
UUCGCUCAGUGUCAGUAUCAUAGCCAAUGAGGUUUAUCCAAGGCAUGAUUAUUGUUAAUUGAAAA